RNAcentral lists this ribosomal RNA (493 nucleotides) under uncultured bacterium. Its description in RNAcentral is "partial 16S ribosomal RNA". It matches the Rfam family "Bacterial small subunit ribosomal RNA", at positions 28 to 507 of the family's 1533-position model. The record is from RNAcentral.
GACGAACGCUGGCGGCGUGCUUAACACAUGCAAGUCGAACGGUGAAGGGACCGGUUUUUGCUGGUUCUGGAUGAGUGGCGAACGGGUGAGUAACACGUGAGUAACCUGCCCCCUUCUUCUGGAUAACCGCAUGAAAGUGUGGCUAAUACGGGAUAUUCUGCGCCUGCUGCAUGGUGGGUGUGGUAAAGAUAUUGGUUCGGUGGGGGAUGGGCUCGCGGCCUAUCAGCUUGUUGGUGGGGUGAUGGCCUACCAAGGCGGUGAGGGGUAGGCGGCCUGGGAGGGUGAACGGUAAUACUGGGACGGAGACACGGCCAAGACUCCUACGGGAGGCAGCGGUGGGGAAUAUUGCACAGUGGGAGGAAGGAUGAUGCAGCGACGCCGCGGGAGGGAUGGAGGCCUUCGGGUUGUAAACCUCUUUCGCCAGUGAAGCAGGCCUGUCCAUUUUGUGGGUGGGUUGACGGUAGCUGGAGAAGAAGCGCCGGCUAACUACGUG